AUGGCUCUUCAUACCAGUUUUGCUUCGCAGUCCCAGGUGCGGGCUCAUGCUAUUCGCACUGCGCUUGGGGAGGUGAAGCUUAAUGAUCUCACUGUCACCGACUACUUCAACAAGGUGAUGGCAUGGCAGACACCCUUGCCUUUAUCGGCAAGGCCCUUCUUUUGGAGGAGUUCACCUCCUCUGUGCUCAAUGGACUAG
This 198-nucleotide ribosomal RNA is filed under the name Triticum aestivum (bread wheat). RNAcentral describes it as "partial small subunit ribosomal RNA". The record is from RNAcentral. Lineage: Eukaryota; Viridiplantae; Streptophyta; Magnoliopsida; Poales; Poaceae.